UCAUUAGUGAGGUCUAUCCUUACCUGUGGUUCUCAAAUAGAGAACUUCAGAACAUGAUGAUUGGAGAUCUUAUGAGAUAUGAUUAUAUCUUCUUCCUUCCUGGCUGAGCGCAACAACCCUCCAGGUUUCCAUUCUGAC
Gadus morhua (Atlantic cod) is the source of this 138-nucleotide small nucleolar RNA. Its record names the gene U8. It matches the Rfam family "U8 small nucleolar RNA". Rfam says of the family: U8 is a member of the C/D class of snoRNA which contain the C (UGAUGA) and D (CUGA) box motifs. U8 is the RNA component of a small complex (the U8 snoRNP) which is required for accumulation of mature large subunit ribosomal RNAs, 5.8S and 28S rRNAs. U8 RNA has been identified in human, mouse, rat and Xenopus. NCBI's taxonomy places the organism in Eukaryota, Metazoa, Chordata, Actinopteri, Gadiformes, Gadidae. The record is from Ensembl.